GGACGAACGCUGGCGGCGUGCUUAACACAUGCAAGUCGAACGGUGAAGGGACCAGCUUGCUGGUUCUGGAUGAGUGGCGAACGGGUGAGUAACACGUGAGUAACCUGCCCCCUUCUUCUGGAUAACCGCAUGAAAGUGUGGCUAAUACGGGAUAUUCUGGGUCUGUCGCAUGGCGGGCCCGGGAAAGAUAUUGCUUCGGUGGGGGAUGGGCUCGCGGCCUAUCAGCUUGUUGGUGGGGUGAUGGCCUACCAAGGCGGUGACGGGUAGCCGGCCUGAGAGGGUGGACGGUCACACUGGGACUGAGACACGGCCCAGACUCCUACGGGAGGCAGCAGUGGGGAAUAUUGCACAAUGGGCGCAAGCCUGAUGCAGCGACGCCGCGUGAGGGAUGGAGGCCUUCGGGUUGUAAACCUCUUUCGCCAGUGAAGCAGGCCUGCUCCUUGUGGGUGGGUUGACGGUAGCUGGAUAAGAAGCGCCGGCUAACUACGUG
This 490-nucleotide ribosomal RNA is filed under the name uncultured bacterium. Its description in RNAcentral is "partial 16S ribosomal RNA". It matches the Rfam family "Bacterial small subunit ribosomal RNA", at positions 27 to 507 of the family's 1533-position model. The record is from RNAcentral.